CCUACGGGAGGCAGCAGUGGGGGAUAUUGCACAAUGGGGGAAACCCUGAUGCAGCGACGCCGCGUGUGGGAAGACGGUCCUCUGGAUUGUAAACCACUGUCCCCAGGGACGAAAAUGACGGUACCGGGGGAGGAAGCGCCGGCUAACUACGUGCCAGCAGCCGCGGUAAGACGGAGGGAGCGAGCGUUGUCCGGAAGUACUGGGUGUAAAGGGAGCGUAGGCGGGGAUGCAAGUUGGGUGUCCAAACUACCGGCUCAACUGGUAGUCGCACUCAAAACUGCAGCUCUUGAGGGAAGUAGAGGCAGGCGGACUUCCUCGUGUAGCGGUGACCUGCGUCGAUAUUAGGCG
Molecule: ribosomal RNA, 348 nt
Filed under: uncultured bacterium
Lineage: Bacteria
Description: partial 16S ribosomal RNA
Rfam family: Bacterial small subunit ribosomal RNA
Source: RNAcentral